AAUUUAAUGAAACUGUUCGAAUCAUGUUCGAUCAAUAGAUUGCAAUAGUGCAAUAAAAUAAUUAUCUUGAAAUCGAUAAUAAACUCAUAAACCGUAAAAUGGUCCGAUUUUUUACUGCCUUGUCGAUUUCAAAGAAAAUUAAAAUGAUUAUUGGUUUUUAUGAAAAAAUCCGUUCUUCCUCUUCUGCAGGGAUUCUUUAAUAAAAACAGAUUCGAGAAGUGAAAUUAUAUAGCCAUAAAGGAAUUUGGGAAACUGAAUUAUUUGCUCCUGUAAGCAAAUUGGAUCAAAAUGGGAAAAGUGAGUAUUACUAUUACCGAAAUUGUCCAUGAGGAGUGAAUAACAUCUGAGAAAAUCUUCAAAAAAAUAUAAAUUGUAUAUGAGGUGUGAAUAACAACUGAGAACAUCUUCGAAACAUUAUAAAUUGUCCUUGAGGAGUGAAUUACAACUGAGGAAAUCUUCGAAAAAUUAUAAAUUGUCCAUGAGGAGUGAAAAACAACUGAGGAAAUCUUCGAAAAAUUAUAAAUUUUCCAUGAGGAGUGAAUAAAGACUGAGAAAAUCUUCGAAAAAUUAUAAAUUUUCCAUGAGGAGUGAAUAACGACUGAGAAAAUCUUCGAAAAAUUAUAAAUUGUCCAUGAGGAGUGAAUAACAACAGAGAAAAUCUUCGAAACAUUAUAAAUUUUCCAUGAGGAGUGAAUAAAGACUGAGAAAAUCUUCGAAAAAUUAUAAAUUGUCCAUGAGGAGUGAAUAACAACAGAGAAAAUCUUCGAAACAUUAUAAAUUUUCCAUGAGGAGUGAAUAAAGACUGAGAAAAUCUUCGAAAAAUUAUAAAUUGUCCAUGAGGAGUGAAUAACAACAGAGAAAAUCUUCGAAACAUUAUAAAUUUUCCAUGAGGAGUGAAUAAAGACUGAGAAAAUCUUCGAAAAAUUAUAAAUUGUCCAUGAGGAGUGAAUAAAGACUGAAAAAAUCUUCGAAAAAUUAUAAAUUGUCCAUGAGGAGUGAAUAACAACUAAGAAAAUCUUAUUUUAUGUAAGCCUGACAUUUAUUUUAAUAUUUUCUUUCUGUCUGUACUUCAUCAUCAUACAUAAUAUAUGAUGAUGAAAUUAUCAUUUUUUUUCUGACAGCUCUUUAGAAAAAUUCUUGUUGAAAAAUAUAAAUCUGAUGAAAAAUCUU
This is a long non-coding RNA of Harmonia axyridis, 1170 nucleotides long. RefSeq lists it as uncharacterized. Lineage: Eukaryota; Metazoa; Arthropoda; Insecta; Coleoptera; Coccinellidae. The transcript is spliced from 15 exons. The record is from RefSeq and is a predicted model, not a curated record.